CAGCACAGUGGGGACAGACUGCGUGGUCCACUGGGUGGCUGUGCAGAUGCAGAAUGUGGGCACCCUUCCUGCCCAGGAAGGGGCUGGAGCCCCACCUGCUGUUGCAAUCUUAGGGCCAUCUACUGGUGACCUGAGCUGGUCCUCAGGACCCUUGUGAGCCCUGAGCCCUCUCUCCAUGCCCAGGUGCCCACCUGGACUAAUUGGCCAUGUUCCCUUGCUGCCCUGGCCUUGAUAAGGCUGUUGUGGGAGCUUUCGAAGCUGCCUGCAAGUUGGAGGAUCGAUGAUUGAGGAAUGUUCACCCCAUCCCCUAUCUACAGGGGUUGAUUAGUGUCCCCUUAAAAUGUGUCCACCCAGAACCCCAGAAUGACUGUCUUGCUUUCUUGUUGCUGGAACAGAAUACCUAACACCCACAAGUUAAAGGAGGCAAGGUUUAUUGCAGCUCAGAAUUUAUAGAGGUUUUGGUCCAUUGUUGUUUGGUUCCAAGGCAGGGCAGCAUGGCCGAGGAACAUAGCAGAGGAGAGAAACAGUCCAUGGCAGGGUAGGCAGGAAGCGAGCAGUGAGUCUUCCUUUCCCUUUUUCUUCCAUUCAGACUAUAAACCCAUUGGUUAGUUCCAUCCAUCCCCGGGGUGGGCCUUCCCAUUAUCCACACACAGAACUGUGGUAAUCCAAUCAGCGGACUAAUCCAGUUAUCAUGCACCCAUGAUCCAGUAUCACACACCCCUGAACCAGCCACCUCCCAAAAGCCCCACCUGGGAGUGCAUGAGGUUUUGGGGGACAUUUUAGAUGUAACAGUGACCUUAUUUGGGAAACAAGGUUUUUGUGGAUGUCAUUAAAGGAGGGGAUCAAAAUGAAUCUCAUUGCGUUAGGGGAGGUCCCACAACCUAAGGAAUGUUCUUAGGAGAGAGAAGGAAAUGAGACCUCACUCUCCCCUAUUCCCUUGGACUGCUGGAGGGGGUGUGGUCUCACCAACAGCUGUCACAUUGUCCCCUUACUCGUCCUUGCUUCCCUGAGGGUAGCAUGGGGCCACCAGCCCCAGUGUCUUCCUGCCACCACCAUUGUUGCUUUGGGAGCUAUCCUCUAUGCUGCACUGACAGGAGCUGCAUUCUUGGCUGACUGCAGUGAUUCCCCUGUCACUCUGGGCCACCAUUGCUGCCUCUCUAUGGAAUGGCUGAAAACUGGUGCUCAACAGGGCAAAGAUGGGGAGGACCAGGGGCCAUUGCUGCUAUCCCCGAAAUCCCUGAGCCUCAGAGGGUCAUGGUGACCACAGUAGCCUCUCCUGGAGUUCCCUCAAAAGCAGUGUUGGGCCAAGCUGUCACCAUGACAGCAGAGGUGUCUUAGAUGCCCCAGGGUGCUCCAGGAGAGGUUUGCUCUGGCUGAGGCAGGCUUGGAACAGAACUUUCCCAGAUGACUCCGCCCACCAGCCUCCAGAUGUCCCAUUCCCCUCUUUGUCACUACUUCCAAAGUCCCCAGCAUGAGUCCCUGGAGAGCUUCACUUGGCUCAUCCUAUUGCCCGCUCAGGAUUUUUAUCCUGUGUAGAGUGAGACCAGCAGGUUGCACUAAGAAGAGCUGCUGACACCAAGAACUCUGCCCCGAAGAGCUCCAGAGAGUGGCAGAACAAGGAUCCCAGACCAUCAGGGCCCUGCCAUGAGUGGUGGAGAACCCCAGAGAACAGCACAAGCUGCUGGAAGAGCUCUAGAAUGGUGUUGGGGGCCAUGAGCAGGGCUGCUGAGGCCAGGAGCCAUCAAGAGCUAUGACACUAAGAGCUAAGAGGUGCUGGCACUCAAAGCUUACAGCUGUGACACUAACAGCUGGCAGCUACUGGAACCAAAAGCCUGGAGCUGCUAACGUUAAAGGAGCUGCACUUGACAAUUUAUGAUUUCUCUCUGAAUUGAACAAGAGAACCCCCAGCUGGUUGGAAACACAGGAGACAGGAGGGGACACGCAGACAAGGCAGUUAUCAGAUGACUGGGACAGAUGCAGCUUAAAGCUGGAGAGGCCUCGAUGGGCACUUUCCAAGCCUCCAGAGAGACCCAGCCCCUGCACCCCUCAAUCUGG
This 2055-nucleotide long non-coding RNA is filed under the name Heterocephalus glaber (naked mole-rat). Its description in RNAcentral is "lncRNA (ENSHGLG00100046073.1)". Lineage: Eukaryota; Metazoa; Chordata; Mammalia; Rodentia; Bathyergidae. The record is from RNAcentral.